This 478-nucleotide ribosomal RNA is filed under the name uncultured bacterium. RNAcentral describes it as "partial 16S ribosomal RNA". It matches the Rfam family "Bacterial small subunit ribosomal RNA", at positions 28 to 523 of the family's 1533-position model. The record is from RNAcentral.
GACGAACGCUGGCGGCGUGCUUAACACAUGCAGGUCGAACGGUAAGGCCCUUCGGGGUACACGAGUGGCGAACGGGUGAGUAACACGUGGGUGAUCUGCCCUGCACUUCGGGAUAAGCCUGAGAAACUGGGUCUAAUACCGGAUAGGACUCCGGACUGCAUGGUCUGGGGUGGAAAGCUUUUGCGGUGUGGGAUGGGCCCGCGGCCUAUCAGCUUGUUGGUGGGGUGAUGGCCUACCAAGGCGACGACGGGUAGCCGGCCUGAGAGGGUGACCGGCCACGCUGGGACUGAGAUACGGCCCAGACUCAUACGGGAGGCAGCAGUGGGGAAUAUUGCACACUGGGCGCAAGCCUGAUGCAGCGACGCCGCGUGGGGGAUGACGGCCUUCGGGUUGUAAACCUCUUUCAGCAUCGACGAAGCGAAAGUGACAGUAGGUGUAGAAGAAGGACCGGCCAACUACGUGCCAGCCGCCGCCGUAA